Arachis duranensis is the source of this 1293-nucleotide long non-coding RNA. RefSeq lists it as uncharacterized. NCBI's taxonomy places the organism in Eukaryota, Viridiplantae, Streptophyta, Magnoliopsida, Fabales, Fabaceae. The record is from RefSeq and is a predicted model, not a curated record. The transcript has 2 exons.
AGAUCAAAUUAUCCCUAAUAAUAAUAAAAAUAAUAAAAAAACAAAGCAAAAUCCUCCCUACCACCCACACUGUAUCUCCCACCACACUGACUAUCAUAUUCUCUCCCUCCUCCUUUCUCCUCACCACCAACAUUGCUUUCUUCUUCACUCUCGCUCCUUCUUCUGCCACUGCCACUACCUUUGCUCUCACUAAUCUGAGAAACUUCCUCGCCAUCAAGGGAGACGAGGGGAUGGAAAGUCGAGGGGAGUCCGGUACCAUAAGUGUUGAUUCCUCCUCUCAUUAGAGUUGGUGGCCACGGAGUUUGAUUUCUGCUCCAUCUUCUUUAUUCUUGUCUUCUGCUUUUGUUUUUCCCUCUCACACAGUGGUAAGUCACCAUCCCCUUUCUCUCUCUCUCUUUCCUGGUGACUCUUCUCUUUCAGUCUCUAUUCCUUCAACUAUCCUCAAUCACAAUUCGCUUUACCACUCCCAUUUUGUCACCCUUCAUAUCACUACCAAAAAUUCUCUUUUUCUUUUCCAAAGAUUAUAAUUUUAUUGCAAUCAAAAUUUAGGGUUUUGAUUACAAUACCAAAAAACAUGCUGCUUCUUUAUCGACGAGAACUAUGGUUACCAUGCCUUAAAGAAAGAAACAGGGGCAAAAAAAAAAAGACACAUGCUUAAAGAUAAUUUUUUCAGACAAAAGAAAACAUGACUAAUGGAAAAAGAAACGCCAACCAAAGGAAACAGCGGAAGAGUCCUCCUUUAGCUCAUCUAAGGCCAAUCAACUGAAGGCAUUCCUCAAGGCUAUUAGCUGCAUGGAGCUUGGUCUGUCGAUCCAACAAAAGAAGUUGCCCGACUACAAUGUUCGACAGAGCAAGAGGCGAUUUGAUAGGUUGAGUUUAAGAUGUAAUCGGAUCGAGCGAGUGGUUAAGGAUGAGGACUUGAGACCCCUUCCACAUGAGAAGCCAGAUAGAGGAGUUAUCAAGAGUUCCCUUUUGAGUUCUGAGUUCAUCUUUUAUAACACCCUACCACACAGAACUUUACGCUUAAGCCGUAAAACAGAGGUGGUGUGGUAUUACGACUGAUGCUACGAUUUUAGGAAAUUGCACGAUCGGCAAAAAUUCCUUCCGGCAAGUGCACCGGUUAUCGUCAAGUAAAAACUCACAAUAGAGUGAGGUCGAAUCCCACAAGGAUUGGUUGAGUGAGCAAUUCGGAUUAGAAGUGUGUUCUAGUUGAGCGGAAUCAAGAUUUAGAUGAGAAUUGCGGAAUGUAAAAUUGGCGGGAAACGUAAAUGGCAAGAAAUUGAAAUUGCGGAA